AUAUUUAUAUAUUUCUCGAUUAUAGUAUGUUGCAGGUCAUGUUAAGUCGGCCAAUAGUCCAAGAAUAGAAAAAUAGUUGAUUUAAAUUGAAUAUUUUGCUCCAUAUAUAGCGAUGCUCCAUAUGGAUGAGAAAACGAAUAACACUGAGCUGAGUACGACAAAGCAAAAAAGGUUGAACAAUUUGCUAUUCAAAUACUCUCGCUUGAGGGUUGAGGCUGAAAGAGGUUUGUCUCUGUUUCUACUGUUUGAAAUCCAAAAAGGAUCCUGCUGAUCCUUUGUUGUUACGUCACCAGGAUAAAUUGUGCGCCACAAGAUCAUUCCACUGAUAAGUGCUAACACGUCAGCGCGAAUCAUUCACCAAUUUCAUUGUUUUUUUUUAGAAAUUCGAGGCAUUUUGACGAAAUUGGGUAUGAGCACGAUCCGCUUGCAAUAACAUAAACAGGGUCAACAGUUGUUCCUCGUUAUGGUUUGGGGUGCUGCUUGAUUCCAUUCACCCAUAUUUUCCACUUUUAAAUUGUGAGGUUAUUCUGCAGCGUUUGUAACGAUGGGAGGUUGACGUACUCUGAUGACCUCUGUGUUUGGAUCUUCUGUCCAUGAUGAUUGUAAAUUGUCUCUUGGUUCUUACCGACACAACUUCUUGGCCCUUCACCAAACGGAACGAAUGAGCAAAAUGGUCUUUUCGCCAUAUUUUCCGACGUAAAUCGCUCUGGAUCAAAACGCAUUGGAUCUGGAUAAUAUUCAGGAUCGUAAUGAAUUCCCAUGUUUGUCGCCAUUAUCAGUGUUCCUUUCUCAAUGACAUUCAGUUUCGAUUCCAAAAAGGGAAGCGGAUGUUACGUCCACGGUAAAUCUACCCAAAACACUCUUAAUGUCAAUUGGUAAUUGAGACUCUGCCAUAUUUUUUAGUCUGUUGACUAAUAGUUUGGUAAUACUGUCCAUGACAUCCAUGUGGUUCCUCAAUUUGCUUGAAGAGAAGGCUGCGGGGAUUUUAGAGCGCACGUGCUUCCACUUAAUGCUUUCCAAAUUGAAGAGAUGCCCAGACAGUGGGUCGAUUUUUUCGUUAAUAUAAAAACCGUGAUUUCGAAAAUUCGAAAAAUCUGUAACCAAUAUUUUCUUAAUCAGCUUAUUAUCGAUUGGUAUGAAAACGGGUUUGCUGCCGAAAUAGGCACCUCCCAUAUCCCAACCCUUGGCUUUCAUUUCCAGAUACCAGUCGCCAAAAAGUUCUCCUAAACCCCUUUUUCCAAGAAAGAAACUUUGAGCAUUUCCAAAUGGGAUGGUUGGCUCCAGGAAAUUAAAUUUUCGUUUUUUCCAAUAAGAAAAAGUGUAUGUAGAGAAGGUUAUAGCAGUAGAGAAAAUUAUUAAGAGUAAAAUUAUGAUGAUAAUAACGAGAGCCGCUGGAACCAGUGACAUGUUUUCUGCAAAAAAAAAAACAGGCGAUUUAGUUUCCAAGCAUCUCAUGUUGGAGAUAAAUCCAGGAUUAAGUUUUUUAUAUAGUUUGUUCUUUUUAUAUAAUCAUUCAUUACGUUUCUUGCACAUAUUAAAUAUUCUACUUAACCGGCUAUUUUAAUUUUAAUUCAUGUCGAUAAAACUAGAUAUCUAGUUAAACGCCCGAAUUUUCUCGCCAAUAUUUCUCUGUUCAAAUUUUCCGAACAAUCGCGUCCCAUUAGUUGGUGUUAUGAAGUUGAAGAGUUAAAGCUUAAUCUUCAGCUCAUUGAUCAUUUAACUAUAAAUUUAAUUUAAAAACUUAUACACAAUAUAACUUCUGAAAACUUUUUUACCUUGUUCAAUGUGCUGCUCGUCAAUUUUGUGUUCUCUGUGCAACAAUUUCUUGUCUAUUUGUUUCGGCUUUCUUUGGCACCUACUACUUCAAUAUUGUGUGGUCUUCAAUCUUAGUGUGAAGUAACUUAAACUGAUUAUGUACUAAGUGCCAGACAAAUUUACAAAACACUAGGCUCUUGGCAAUUAAUAGAAUCCAUAGACAGGGUGUCCAAGUAAAGAUUGCAUUGGAGUCUAGGCUGGUGCAAAAAACUUAAUAACAGGCAAGGACCAGGUGGAAAAUGUUGUUGAGGAUAUGAAUCUUGUCUUGUGUUCUUGUUAAGUGUAUAAGUGGUAAUUUUAAUCGUUGUAAUGUACAAUUUAAAAUGAUCUAUGUGACUUGGUGGUUGAUUUAUCGUUAAACCGCUUUUACUUUUGCUGAUCCAAUUAAUUUUUGUGAGCAAAAAAAUUACAGGCAAAGACCAGGUGGAAAUUGUUGCUGAGGUUCCAACUUUAAGAAAAAAAAAGUUUAAACGUGAAAAAGACUGUGAAAAGACUUGGACGUGGAAGGGGUUUCCAAUUAAUCUAAUGUAGAUGCAAUUUAGGGGUUGAUAACUGUUUUUUUGCAAUUAGCCGCGAAUCGUGUCUUCCAAGCGGAAAACGUUCAAUACAAAACUUAAUCGUCAAAAAACUAAAGUACAUUUUCCGCAUGUUUCGCGCUACUUACUGUAAUAAAAUUCUUUCAAUUGUAAUAAUAUUUUAUCAAAGCAAGUCAUAUUACUAGAAUAUACUCCACUGCUGUGAUAAUAGAAAUAAUGUAGAAAAUCGACAAUUAUUGAAAAUAUUGAAUAAAUCAUGAUUCCGAAAGACUGUCGCAGACAUUCUUGCAACAAACGAAUGUUAAACACACCCUGAAUACCGCAUUUGAAAAUAAAACCCAUCAAAACUGUUGAUCCUCCGAAAUAAUUUUUGAAGUGCCCGAACAGGCGGACAAGGGAAGAAAUUUGACUCAGUAGUCCGCUACUGGUCUUUAUCUAUGGUGGGUAGUCCGCACCCGAAAAUCGUACGCGAAGCAUCGCUCCCACAGGCCCUUGCGUGCACCCUCUCCUUUUUUAUGGUAUAUCCGGUGUCUAAGUUGGCAAGGGCCCCUAUAGUAAAUUAUGGGUUGAUUGUUCAAUAAAGGACGCAGUACCUCAGUGAUUGGAAUAACAACUCGUCAUACAAACCACAACCCCGACCUCCUAAAGGUCUUUUUAACUAAAAAUUUGCAAUGUUUGAAGCUCAACCGGUCUAGUUGUCCAGGACCAACUUAAAAAACGGCAUACCAACAGACUUCUAAGGGGGCUGACAGGCUCCAAAAACAGUAAGUUUUAAACUUAAUUCUCUUUUUGGAGGCCAAUAUUUCACCGUCAAGGACUAACGGUAGUGGUGCAUGUGCAACCAGUGCGUUCUUUUGUGUCAAUUUGUAACACUUAAAGACUAAUUUUGACACUUUUUGUUUUAUUGAAAGUUAGUUUAAAUAGACUAAACAAUACUUUUUCGUUUUCAUUAUUUGUCAUAUCCAUUCUUAGUUUUAAGUUAAAGAUAAGUUGCUUUUUGUAAAUUAGAUGUAGGAAACAUUGUAGGUUUAGAGAUUUAUUGUGUAAUUAAAUGUUUCAAAGCAGA
Dendroctonus ponderosae (mountain pine beetle) is the source of this 3417-nucleotide long non-coding RNA. RefSeq lists it as uncharacterized. NCBI's taxonomy places the organism in Eukaryota, Metazoa, Arthropoda, Insecta, Coleoptera, Curculionidae. The transcript is spliced from 4 exons. The record is from RefSeq and is a predicted model, not a curated record.